AUCCUCUCCCAAUUCCCAUGCACCCAAUUCCCAACAGACGACCGCCUAAAAGUAUGCCUAUCCGAGAGGCGAAAUAGCAGUGAUCCAGUAAAAAAAUGGCAAACACUCUGUGGCCCUGUGAGUGGAUUUUGCGUAAUUUGACGAGGUUUCCUUGGAUAUGCAUGCAUGUAUAUUAGCAGGAACGUAUGAACAUAAAAGACAAGGAAUUUUAAAAGGAAAAGGAAAAGGUUGCUAGCAUUUCUGGAAGGGGAAUAAGAAGUGGAAAAGUAGUUGGGUAAAAGUUUCUUUCCGCCUCUGUUUUUCGUGAUGACUAUCUCUAUCUCUAUGUAUCUGUACACCCUCAAAUCAUCAAGUGUAGUAAAUUACUAUUAUUACCAACCACUUUUGAUAUAUUGAAAUUUCUUUUCGGUUUGUAAGUUAUAAAAGAAUACUGUCUUAUUUUUCUUUUACUACCCUAUAUAUAUUUAUAUAUAUUUAUAGAUGAAGCAAUGGAAAGUUGAGAAAAUAUAAUUGAAAGAACGAAUAGGAGGAACGAAGAAGAGUCAUUUAAGAAAAUUUA
Molecule: long non-coding RNA, 559 nt
Organism: Prunus mume (Japanese apricot)
Lineage: Eukaryota; Viridiplantae; Streptophyta; Magnoliopsida; Rosales; Rosaceae
Source: RefSeq, a predicted model, not a curated record